RNAcentral lists this ribosomal RNA (545 nucleotides) under uncultured eukaryote. RNAcentral describes it as "SSU rRNA". It matches the Rfam family "Eukaryotic small subunit ribosomal RNA", at positions 29 to 569 of the family's 1831-position model. The record is from RNAcentral.
UGCUUGUCUCAAAGAUUAAGCCAUGCAUGUCUAAGUAUAAGCACUUGUACUGUGAAACUGCGAAUGGCUCAUUAAAUCAGUUAUCGUUUAUUUGAUUGUACUUUUUACUACAUGGAUACCUGUGGUAAUUCUAGAGCUAAUACAUGCGUAAAAAUCCCGACUUCUGGAAGGGAUGUAUUUAUUAGAUUAAAAACCAAUGCGAGUUAACGCUCGCUUUCUUGGUGAUUCAUGAUAACUUUUCGAAUCGCAUGGCCUUGCGCCGGCGAUGUUUCAUUCAAAUUUCUGCCCUAUCAACUGUCGAUGGUAAGGUAGUGGCUUACCAUGGUUGUAACGGGUGACGGAGAAUUAGGGUUCGAUUCCGGAGAGGGAGCCUGAGAAACGGCUACCACAUCUAAGGAAGGCAGCAGGCACGAAAAUUACCCAAUCCCAACUCGGGGAGGUAGUGACAAGAAAUAACGGUACGGGGUCUUGAUAGGUCUCGCAAUCGGAAUGAGUACAAUUUAAAUCCUUUAACGAGGAUCAAUUGGAGGGCAAGUCUGGUCCCC